This 636-nucleotide ribosomal RNA is filed under the name uncultured soil bacterium. RNAcentral's name for it is "bacterial SSU rRNA". It matches the Rfam family "Bacterial small subunit ribosomal RNA", at positions 31 to 699 of the family's 1533-position model. The record is from RNAcentral.
UCACGCUGGCGGCGCGCUUAACACAUGCAAGUCGCACGAGAAAGUGGAGCAAUCCAUGAGUAAAGUGGCGUACGGGUGAGUAACACGUGGAUUAUCUACCUUCUAGUGGGGAAUACCUCCGGGAAACUGGAGACAAUACCGCAUAAGCUCGUAAGAGGAAAGCAGCAAUGCGCUGGAAGAGGAGUCCGCGGCUGAUUAGCUAGUUGGCGGGGUAACGGCCCACCAAGGCGAAGAUCGGUAGCCGGCCUGAGAGGGCACACGGCCACACUGGCACUGAAACACGGGCCAGACUCCUACGGGAGGCAGCAGUGGGGAAUCUUGCACAAUGGAGGAAACUCUGAUGCAGCGACGCCGCGUGAGCGAUGAAGCCCCUCGGGGUGUAAAGCUCUUUCGACGGGAAAGAUAAUGACGGUACCCGAAGAAGAAGCUGCGGCUAACUACGUGCCAGCAGCCGCGGUAAUACGUAGGCAGCAAGCGUUGUUCGGAAUUACUGGGCGUAAAGAGUGUGUAGGCGGUGCUCUAAGUCUGUCGUGAAAUCUCCCGGCUUAACUGGGAGGGUGCGGCGGAAACUGGAAUGCUAGAGGGUGGGAGAGGAAAGCGGAAUUCCUGGUGUAGCGGUGAAAUGCGUAGAUAUCA